GCCCGGUUAGCUCAGUGGUAGAGCGUGUGGCUUUUAUCGGCACCUCAAUGUCGCGGGUUCGACCCCCGCAUCGGGCU
This is a non-coding RNA of Morchella snyderi, 77 nucleotides long. Lineage: Eukaryota; Fungi; Ascomycota; Pezizomycetes; Pezizales; Morchellaceae. The record is from the annotation of a GenBank genome assembly.